RNAcentral lists this ribosomal RNA (1237 nucleotides) under metagenome. Its description in RNAcentral is "bacterial LSU rRNA". It matches the Rfam family "Bacterial large subunit ribosomal RNA", at positions 1660 to 2878 of the family's 2925-position model. The record is from RNAcentral.
CUUGUGGGUGAGGAGAAAAUCCUAAGGCGAUUGAGAGAACUCUCCUCCAAGGAACUAGGCAAAUUGACACCGUAACUUCGGAAGAAGGUGUGCCCUCGGUAGGUGUAGUCGUACAGACGAAGCCGAUGAGGGUCGCAGUGAAACGGCGGUAGCGACUGUUUACCAAAAACACAGGACUCUGCGAAGGCGAGAAGCCGACGUAUAGGGUCUGACUCCUGCCCGGCGCUGGAAGGUUAAGGGGAUUCGUCAGCCGCAAGGUGAAGCGAUGAUCCGAAGCCCCAGUAAACGGCGGCCGUAACGAUAACGGUCCUAAGGUAGCGAAAUUCCUUGUCGGGUAAGUUCCGACCUGCACGAAUGGAGUAACGACUUCCGCACUGUCUCGGAGAGGGACUCAGCGAAAUUGAAUAGCUGUGCCGAUGCAGUUUACCCGCAGAAAGACGGAAAGACCCCGUGAACCUUUACUAUAACUUGACAGUGACACUAGGGAUUGACUGUGUAGGAUAGGUGGGAGCCUUUGAAGCCGGGCCGCUAGGUUCGGUGGAGGCAAUGGUGAAAUACCACCCUGUUGAUUUCUGGUGUCUAACCGCGUCCCGUUAACCGGGAUCGGGACACUGUCUGGUGGGUAGUUUGACUGGGGCGGUCGCCUCCCAAAAUGUAACGGAGGCGCGCUAUGGUUCCCUCAGCCCGAUUGGAAACCGGGCGUCGAGUGCAAUGGCAUAAGGGAGCUUGACUGCGAGACCGACGUGUCGAGCAGGUGCGAAAGCAGGUCAUAGUGAUCCGGUGGUUCUGAAUGGAAGGGCCAUCGCUCGACGGAUAAAAGGUACUCCGGGGAUAACAGGCUUAUCUCCCCCAAGAGUUCUCAUCGACGGGGAGGUUUGGCACCUCGAUGUCGGCUCAUCGCAUCCUGGGGCUGGAGCAGGUCCCAAGGGUUUGGCUGUUCGCCAAUUAAAGCGGUACGCGAGCUGGGUUCGAAACGUCGUGAGACAGUUUGGUCCCUAUCUUCUGUGGGCGUAGGAUGCUUGAGAGGAUCUGACCUUAGUACGAGAGGACCGGGUUGGAGACACCUCUGGUGUACCAGUUGUCACGCCAGUGGCAUCGCUGGGUAGCCAUGUGUCGAUUGGAUAACCGCUGAAAGCAUCUAAGCGGGAAACCGACCUCAAGAAUAGGCAUCCCGGGGGAAACCCCCUAAAGACCCGUCGUAGACUACGACGUUGAUAGGCCGGGUGUGUAAGCGGAA